UGCCAGCCGCCGCGGUAAUACGGAGGGGGUUAGCGUUGUUCGGAAUUACUGGGCGUAAAGCGCGCGUAGGCGGCUAUAACAGUCAGGCGUGAAAGCCCCGGGCUUAACCUGGGAACUGCGUUUGAUACUGUAUAGCUAGAGAUUGGAAGAGGAGAGUGGAAUUCCAAGUGUAGAGGUGAAAUUCGUAGAUAUUUGGAAGAACACCAGUGGCGAAGGCGGCUCUCUGGUCCACAUCUGACGCUGAGGCGCGAAAGCGUGGGGAGCAAACAGGAUUAGAUA
This 279-nucleotide ribosomal RNA is filed under the name uncultured bacterium. RNAcentral describes it as "partial 16S ribosomal RNA". It matches the Rfam family "Bacterial small subunit ribosomal RNA", at positions 506 to 784 of the family's 1533-position model. The record is from RNAcentral.